GACGAACGCUGGCGGCGUGCUUAACACAUGCAAGUCGAACGGAAAGGCCCUGCUUUUGUGGGGUGCUCGAGUGGCGAACGGGUGAGUAACACGUGAGUAACCUGCCCUUGACUUUGGGAUAACUUCAGGAAACUGUGGCUAAUACCGGAUAGGAGCUCCUGCUGCAUGGUGUGGGUUGGAAAGUUUCGGCGGUUGGGGAUGGACUCGCGGCUUAUCAGCUUGUUGGUGGGGUAGUGGAUUACCAAGGCUUUGACGGGUAGCCGGCCUGAGAGGGUGACCGGCCACAUUGGGACUGAGAUACGGCCCAGACUCCUACGGGAGGCAGCAGUGGGAAAUAUUGCACAAUGGGCGGAAGCCUGAUGCAGCAACGCCGCGUGCGGGAUGACGGCCUUAGGGUUGUAAACCGCUUUAGCCUGUGACGAAGCGUGAGUGACGGUAAUGGGUAAAGAAGCACCGGCUAACUACGUG
Molecule: ribosomal RNA, 468 nt
Filed under: uncultured bacterium
Lineage: Bacteria
Description: partial 16S ribosomal RNA
Rfam family: Bacterial small subunit ribosomal RNA
Source: RNAcentral